CAAUAAGCGGAGGAAAAGAAACCAACAGGGAUUGCCCUAGUAACGGCGAGUGAAGCGGCAACAGCUCAAAUUUGAAAUCUGGCUACUUUGUAGUCCGAGUUGUAAUUUGUAGAGGAUGCUUUUGGUGAGGUGCCUUCCGAGUUCCCUGGAACGGGACGCCAUAGAGGGUGAGAGCCCCGUACGGUUGGAUGCCAAACCUUUGUAUAGCUCCUUCAACGAGUCGAGUAGUUUGGGAAUGCUGCUCUAAAUGGGAGGUAUAUCUCUUCUAAAGCUAAAUAUAGGCUAGAGACCGAUAGCGCACAAGUAGAGUGAUCGAAAGAUGAAAAGCACUUUGAAAAGAGAGUUAAACAGCACGUGAAAUUGUUGAAAGGGAAGCGCCUAUGACCAGACUUGUCUCUAUCAGUUUUGCUAGUUUUCGGACUGGUUUACUCUGUUAGUACAGGCCAGCAUCAGUUUGUUGUUGGGGAGAAAGGCUUAGGGAAUGUGGCUCCUUCGGGAGUGUUAUAGCCCUUUGCAUAAUACCUUUCGACAGACUGAGGACCGCGCUUCGGCAAGGAUGCUGGCGUAAUGG
This 571-nucleotide ribosomal RNA is filed under the name Thielaviopsis ethacetica. RNAcentral describes it as "LSU rRNA". It matches the Rfam family "Eukaryotic large subunit ribosomal RNA", at positions 44 to 637 of the family's 3401-position model. Lineage: Eukaryota; Fungi; Ascomycota; Sordariomycetes; Microascales; Ceratocystidaceae. The record is from RNAcentral.